This is a non-coding RNA of Meleagris gallopavo (turkey), 518 nucleotides long. The record is from RefSeq and is a predicted model, not a curated record. Lineage: Eukaryota; Metazoa; Chordata; Aves; Galliformes; Phasianidae.
AGAUCACGAAAAGUCUUGGCUAAGAUAACUAUAUGCAUUUUUAGACUGAAGAUGUAUCCUGUUCUUCAGAUUUAUGCAGUAGCCAUGUUUGUCAAAGUAUUUGGCACCAGUGACAUCAUCUUUGUUGAAACGCCGGACAACGUGAUGAGUCCCAGAUGUUAAUGCACACUGAGAGUGAAGAAAGUGUUGAUCUUUGAAUUUUAUUCUAACAACUAUGGAGGAGUGCACUCACUUUACAUUCUGGGGUUGAUGGAUGAAUACGUGUUUUUUUUACAAGGCAUCCUAAAGCUGUUAAACCUCAGAGGCCUUUUAAAGGAUGAGCAAGAACAAACAAUGUGAUUAAAGGGAGCUGCCAAAAGCUGUACAGGUGUCAGCUGCCACCACUCUUCAUUUCAUGGAUGAAGCUGUCAACUUUUAAUUUAUAGACAAUUUAAGAAGGGGUACGUGAAGGCUUGAAAAGAAGGCUUUCUUUUGUUAAAAGGAAAAAGAGAAUUGUUAUGAAGAACUUCUGCUGGAAU